UCAUGCGCUCUUUAGUUAGUUAUACAGAGAGAAGGAGGAGGAGGAGGAGCCAACUUAGUUACAAAAGCUUCUGAGUGCAAAGCCUCAUACUCCUGCAUGCACUUCUGCUCUGGUUUUGUGGUGGAUUAGCAGCAGUCAUAGUAGAAGAAAAAGAUCAGAUCAGAGUACUUGGGAGAUUUCAAUGUAAACACUUGUGUUUUCAUGAGCUGCUGUUAUCGGCCAUCAAAGGCUGUGUGGCAAGAGGUCUUAUUUUGACUGAUGGGUUAGAUUGGUUGAAUUUAAUAUGCAGAAGAGGAACUCAUCAUGGUCGAGCCCUCAUCGGUUGAAAUGGACUGAUUAAAUUUGCAACUGAUUUUCACCACCGGUCAUUGGCAGACGAAUUCCUCAUGAGUGCCCCUGAUGUGUGGGAGCCGUGCUGUAGCAAAGAUGUUGACGGCGCCACAAGGGAGAUAUUAGAUGCUAUUCAGUUGACGCCCAAAAUCAGGGUCAUGUACUUUGAUGGUUGGAAUGGAUUCGGAG
Long non-coding RNA from Triticum dicoccoides, 519 nucleotides. RefSeq lists it as uncharacterized. The transcript has 3 exons. The record is from RefSeq and is a predicted model, not a curated record. NCBI's taxonomy places the organism in Eukaryota, Viridiplantae, Streptophyta, Magnoliopsida, Poales, Poaceae.